CAUGGAGGUCACAGCUCUCUGCUUCACACUGUUGAUGCUUGAAUUCACCCUGCUGAACAGUUAUACUCCGAAAAGUGAUGCAGCUUUUCUUCGCAUCACUCCAGACCAACUGCAGCAUUUUCAAUACGAGUCCGUCUCUUUUCAUUGUGACGGGACUGCUAAUCCCCCUCAAUUGAGGGUGAUCAGGAAUACUCAAGAAUAUGAUCUGGAAUGUGAUAUUAAGAGGACGCCAACU
Centropristis striata (black sea bass) is the source of this 235-nucleotide long non-coding RNA. RefSeq lists it as uncharacterized. Lineage: Eukaryota; Metazoa; Chordata; Actinopteri; Perciformes; Serranidae. The record is from RefSeq and is a predicted model, not a curated record. The transcript has 3 exons.